RNAcentral lists this ribosomal RNA (253 nucleotides) under uncultured bacterium. Its description in RNAcentral is "partial 16S ribosomal RNA". It matches the Rfam family "Bacterial small subunit ribosomal RNA", at positions 524 to 776 of the family's 1533-position model. The record is from RNAcentral.
GACAGAGGGGGCAAGCGUUGCUCGGAAUUACUGGGCGUAAAGGCCGCGUAGGCGGGAUGGCAAGUCGGUCUUGAAAUCCUUCGGCUCAACCGAAGAACGUCGAUCGAUACUGCUGUUCUUGAGGGUUGCAGAGGAGACUGGAAUUCCCGGUGUAGCGGUGAAAUGUGUAGAGAUCGGGAGGAACACCGGUGGCGAAGGCGGGUCUCUGGGCAAUUCCUGACGCUGAGGCACGAAAGCGUGGGGAGCAAACAGG